UACGUAGGGUGCGAGCGUUGUCCGGAAUUACUGGGCGUAAAGAGCUUGUAGGCGGCUUGUCGCGUCGAAUGUGAAAACUCGGGGCUCAACUCCGAGCUUGCAUUCGAUACGGGCAGGCUAGAGUUCGGUAGGGGAGACUGGAAUUCCUGGUGUAGCGGUGAAAUGCGCAGAUAUCAGGAGGAACACCGGUGGCGAAGGCGGGUCUCUGGGCCGAUACUGACGCUGAGGAAGCGAAAGGCGUGGGGAGCGAACAGG
RNAcentral lists this ribosomal RNA (255 nucleotides) under uncultured bacterium. Its description in RNAcentral is "partial 16S ribosomal RNA". It matches the Rfam family "Bacterial small subunit ribosomal RNA", at positions 524 to 776 of the family's 1533-position model. The record is from RNAcentral.